This 72-nucleotide transfer RNA is filed under the name Camelus bactrianus (Bactrian camel). It matches the Rfam family "tRNA". Rfam says of the family: Transfer RNA (tRNA) molecules are approximately 80 nucleotides in length. Their secondary structure includes four short double-helical elements and three loops (D, anti-codon, and T loops). RNAcentral also lists the same sequence under 2 other names. The record is from Rfam by way of RNAcentral. Lineage: Eukaryota; Metazoa; Chordata; Mammalia; Artiodactyla; Camelidae.
AGGGGUAGAGCUCAAUGGUAGAGCACAUGAUUAGCACGCAUGAAGUCCUGUGUUCAAUCCUUAGUACCUCCA